Molecule: ribosomal RNA, 662 nt
Filed under: Streptomyces mobaraensis
Lineage: Bacteria; Bacillati; Actinomycetota; Actinomycetes; Kitasatosporales; Streptomycetaceae
Description: bacterial LSU rRNA
Rfam family: Bacterial large subunit ribosomal RNA
Source: RNAcentral
UAAGGGUUCCUGGGUCAAGCUGAUCUGCCCAGGGUAAGUCGGGACCUAAGGCGAGGCCGACAGGCGUAGUCGAUGGAUAACCGGUUGAUAUUCCGGUACCCGCUGUGAAGCGUCAAACAUCGAGCAUCGUGAUGCUAAGGCCGUGAAGCCGCCCUGAUCUCUUCGGAGUUGAGGGGAGUGGUGGAGCCGCCGGACCAAGCGGUUAGUAGGUGAGUGAUGGGGUGACGCAGGAAGGUAGUCCAUCCCGGGCGGUGGUUGUCCCGGGGUAAGGGUGUAGGCCGAGUGAUAGGCAAAUCCGCCACACAUGUGGGGUGAGACCUGAUGCCGAGCCGAUUGUGGUGAAGUGGAUGAUCCUAUGCUGUCGAGAAAAGCCUUUAGCGAGUUUCAUGGCGGCCCGUACCCUAAACCGACUCAGGUGGUCAGGUAGAGAAUACCGAGGCGUUCGGGUGAACUAUGGUUAAGGAACUCGGCAAAAUGCCCCCGUAACUUCGGGAGAAGGGGGGCCACACUCGGUGAUGGGCUUUACGCCCUGAGCUGGGGGUGGCCGCAGAGACCAGCGAGAAGCGACUGUUUACUAAAAACACAGGUCCGUGCGAAGCCGUAAGGCGAUGUAUACGGACUGACGCCUGCCCGGUGCUGGAACGUUAAGGGGACCGGUUAGU